RNAcentral lists this ribosomal RNA (116 nucleotides) under uncultured eukaryote. Its description in RNAcentral is "partial small subunit ribosomal RNA". The record is from RNAcentral.
GUGGGUUGCACCAGAAGCMGGUAGUCUAACCGCAAGGAGGGCGCUUACCACGGUGGGAUUCAUGACUGGGGUGAAGUCGUAACAAGGUAGCCGUAGGUGAACCUGCAGAAGGAUCA